UGUGGUGUGGCUCAGUGGCAGAGCACUUGCCUCACGUGUGCGGGCCCUGGGUUUCAUCCCCAGCACCUCAG
This 71-nucleotide transfer RNA is filed under the name Fukomys damarensis (Damara mole-rat). It matches the Rfam family "tRNA". From Rfam's summary of the family: Transfer RNA (tRNA) molecules are approximately 80 nucleotides in length. Their secondary structure includes four short double-helical elements and three loops (D, anti-codon, and T loops). Lineage: Eukaryota; Metazoa; Chordata; Mammalia; Rodentia; Bathyergidae. The record is from Rfam by way of RNAcentral.